Long non-coding RNA from Drosophila novamexicana, 883 nucleotides. RefSeq lists it as uncharacterized. Lineage: Eukaryota; Metazoa; Arthropoda; Insecta; Diptera; Drosophilidae. The transcript has 4 exons. The record is from RefSeq and is a predicted model, not a curated record.
UUGGCGGUCACAGUAACGCAUUCAAUCGGCUCAAUAGUAAUGGAUGGCCUGGAAGCAGGCCGGUAGCGAUUCAGAUUGCUAGAUGGAGCCCAACAGGAGCUGCUGAGCUGUUGCCCACUUUGUUUGAGAGGGCGGUGCCGGAGCUGUCGCUCACUCCAGGUUGAGUAUUUAGCCAGCAGGCCGUCGUGGAGCAUGUCAUCUUCUUGGACAGCGCAUCAUCUUCGUGAUUUGGAAAUAUCUGGUGGCGUCUCUCACACGCCACGCAGCUUGACCAGGAAUUGUUUGUAUGAGCGAUACCGAAGCAGUCGCUCACUUCAAAUGAGUAUUUGGCCCAAUUUACCGUCGUGGGUGCAUCGUCUUCUUGGGCAGCAGUUCUGCGUCUUGCUUUAGAAACAUUCAUUGUCGUCUCUCACACUCCACAAUCCGUCCAGUAGUUGCAUGUCAGCAGACCCGGGUGGCCCGCAAACAGGCCGGUUGCAGUUCAGGAUGCUAGAUGGAGCCCACAAGGAGCUGCUGGGCUGUUGAAUACCUUGUUCGAGUGGGCGAUGCCGAGGCCGUCGCUCACUCCAAAUUGAGUUCCCAAACCUUGCUUGCAGGACAGCGCAUCAUCGUCGCGGUUUGGAAACAUCCAGUGGCGUCUCUCACACGCCAUGCAGUUUGGCCAGGAAUUGUUUGAAUGGGCGAUACCGAAGCAGUCGCCCACUCUAAAUUGGGCAUUCGACCAGCAGGCCGUCGUGGAGCAUGUCAUCUUUUGGACAGCGCAUCAUCAUUCGUGAUUUGGAAAUAUCUGGUGGCGUCUCUCACACGCCACGCAGCUUGUCCAGAAUUUACAUAUCAGUCGACUUGGUAGUCACAGCAGCGUAUUAAAUCGGCUCCGUUGUAC